RNAcentral lists this ribosomal RNA (2900 nucleotides) under Streptococcus thermophilus. Its description in RNAcentral is "LSU rRNA". It matches the Rfam family "Bacterial large subunit ribosomal RNA". The record is from RNAcentral. Lineage: Bacteria; Bacillati; Bacillota; Bacilli; Lactobacillales; Streptococcaceae.
GGUUAAGUUAAUAAGGGCGCACGGUGGAUGCCUUGGCACUAGAAGCCGAUGAAGGACGUGACUAACGACGAAAUGCUUUGGGGAGCUGUAAGUGAGCAAUGAUCCAGAGAUGUCCGAAUGGGGGAACCCGGCAGGUAAUGCCUGUCACUCAUUACUGUUAAGGUAAUGUAGAGGAAGACGCAGUGAACUGAAACAUCUAAGUAGCUGUAGGAAGAGAAAGCAAAAGCGAUUGCCUUAGUAGCGGCGAGCGAAACGGCAAGAGGGCAAACCGAAGAGUUUACUCUUCGGGGUUGUAGGACUGCAACGUGGACUUAAAGAUUAUAGAAGAACUACCUGGGAAGGUAGGCCAAAGAGAGUAAUAGCCUCGUAUUCGAAAUAGUCUUUAUACCUAGCAGUAUCCUGAGUACGGCGAGACACGAGAAAUCUCGUCGGAAUCUGGGAGGACCAUCUCCCAACCCUAAAUACUCUCUAGUGACCGAUAGUGAACCAGUACCGUGAGGGAAAGGUGAAAAGCACCCCGGGAGGGGAGUGAAAUAGAACCUGAAACCGUGUGCCUACAACAAGUUCGAGCCCGUUAAUGGGUGAGAGCGUGCCUUUUGUAGAAUGAACCGGCGAGUUACGAUAUGAUGCGAGGUUAAGUUGAAGAGACGGAGCCGUAGGGAAACCGAGUCUUAAUAGGGCGCAUUAGUAUCAUGUCGUAGACCCGAAACCAUGUGACCUACCCAUGAGCAGGUUGAAGGUGAGGUAAAACUCACUGGAGGACCGAACCAGGGCACGUUGAAAAGUGCUUGGAUGACUUGUGGGUAGCGGAGAAAUUCCAAACGAACUUGGAGAUAGCUGGUUCUCUCCGAAAUAGCUUUAGGGCUAGCGUCGAUGUUAAGUCUCUUGGAGGUAGAGCACUGUUUGGGUGAGGGGUCCAUCCCGGAUUACCAAUCUCAGAUAAACUCCGAAUGCCAAUGAGAUAUAAUCGGCAGUCAGACUGCGAGUGCUAAGAUCCGUAGUCGAAAGGGAAACAGCCCAGACCACCAGCUAAGGUCCCAAAAUAUAUGUUAAGUGGAAAAGGAUGUGGGGUUGCACAGACAACUAGGAUGUUAGCUUAGAAGCAGCUAUUCAUUCAAAGAGUGCGUAAUAGCUCACUAGUCGAGUGACCCUGCGCCGAAAAUGUACCGGGGCUAAAACAUAUUACCGAAGCUGUGGAUACCUUUAUAGGUAUGGUAGGAGAGCGUUCUAUGUGCGAAGAAGGUGUACCGUGAGGAGUGCUGGAGCGCAUAGAAGUGAGAAUGCCGGUAUGAGUAGCGAAAGACAGGUGAGAAUCCUGUCCACCGUAAGACUAAGGUUUCCAGGGGAAGGCUCGUCCGCCCUGGGUUAGUCGGGACCUAAGGAGAGACCGAAAGGUGUAUCCGAUGGACAACAGGUUGAUAUUCCUGUACUAGAGUAUAUAGUGAUGGAGGGACGCAGUAGGCUAACUAAACCAGACGAUUGGAAGUGUCUGGCCAAGCAGUGAGGUGUGAUAUGAGUCAAAUGCUUAUAUCUUUAACAUUGAGCUGUGAUGGGGAGCGAAGUUUAGUAGCGAAGUUAGUGAUGUCACACUGCCGAGAAAAGCUUCUAGCGUUAAUUAUACUCUACCCGUACCGCAAACCGACACAGGUAGUCGAGGCGAGUAGCCUCAGGUGAGCGAGAGAACUCUCGUUAAGGAACUCGGCAAAAUGGCCCCGUAACUUCGGGAGAAGGGGCGCUGACUGAUGGUCAGCCGCAGUGAAUAGGCCCAAGCAACUGUUUAUCAAAAACACAGCUCUCUGCUAAAUCGUAAGAUGAUGUAUAGGGGGUGACGCCUGCCCGGUGCUGGAAGGUUAAGAGGAGUGCUUAGCGUAAGCGAAGGCAUGAAUUGAAGCCCCAGUAAACGGCGGCCGUAACUAUAACGGUCCUAAGGUAGCGAAAUUCCUUGUCGGGUAAGUUCCGACCCGCACGAAAGGCGUAAUGAUUUGGGCACUGUCUCAACGAGAGACUCGGUGAAAUUUUAGUACCUGUGAAGAUGCAGGUUACCCGCGACAGGACGGAAAGACCCCAUGGAGCUUUACUGCAGUUUGAUAUUGAGUAUCUGUACCACAUGUACAGGAUAGGUAGGAGCCUAUGACCUCGGGACGCCAGUUUCGAGUGAGGCGUUGUUGGGAUACUACCCUUGUGUUAUGGCUACUCUAACCCAGAUAGGUUAUCCCUAUCGGAGACAGUGUCUGACGGGCAGUUUGACUGGGGCGGUCGCCUCCUAAAAGGUAACGGAGGCGCCCAAAGGUUCCCUCAGAAUGGUUGGAAAUCAUUCGCAGAGUGUAAAGGUAUAAGGGAGCUUGACUGCGAGAGUUACAACUCGAGCAGGGACGAAAGUCGGGCUUAGUGAUCCGGUGGUUCCGUAUGGAAGGGCCAUCGCUCAACGGAUAAAAGCUACCCUGGGGAUAACAGGCUUAUCUCCCCCAAGAGUUCACAUCGACGGGGAGGUUUGGCACCUCGAUGUCGGCUCGUCGCAUCCUGGGGCUGUAGUCGGUCCCAAGGGUUGGGCUGUUCGCCCAUUAAAGCGGCACGCGAGCUGGGUUCAGAACGUCGUGAGACAGUUCGGUCCCUAUCCGUCGCGGGCGUAGGAAAUUUGAGAGGAUCUGCUCCUAGUACGAGAGGACCAGAGUGGACUUACCGCUGGUGUACCAGUUGUUCUGCCAAGAGCAUCGCUGGGUAGCUAUGUAGGGAAGGGAUAAACGCUGAAAGCAUCUAAGUGUGAAGCCCACCUCAAGAUGAGAUUUCCCAUGAUUUUAUAUCAGUAAGAGCCCUGAGAGAUGAUCAGGUUGAUAGGUUAGAAGUGGAAGUGUGGUGACACAUGUAGCGGACUAAUACUAAUAGCUCGAGGACUUAUCCAA